AAAGUUUGACAGGAUCUGAACCUGUAAGUGGGAAACCCAAUGGAUUUCGAGUCCAUCGCCUUAACCACCUCGGCCAAUGACUG
Molecule: non-coding RNA, 83 nt
Organism: Araneus ventricosus
Lineage: Eukaryota; Metazoa; Arthropoda; Arachnida; Araneae; Araneidae
Source: the annotation of a GenBank genome assembly